GCUUUUGGCUGAUUGGAAGCAGGUGCUUUGAAAGCAUUUUAUAGAAGUUCGAAUCUUCUAAUAGUU
This 66-nucleotide transfer RNA is filed under the name Epopella plicata. RNAcentral's name for it is "tRNA-Ser". The stretch from base 4 to 61 matches the Rfam family "tRNA", at positions 6 to 65 of the family's 71-position model. From Rfam's summary of the family: Transfer RNA (tRNA) molecules are approximately 80 nucleotides in length. Their secondary structure includes four short double-helical elements and three loops (D, anti-codon, and T loops). Further hydrogen bonds mediate the characteristic L-shaped molecular structure. tRNAs have two regions of fundamental functional importance: the anti-codon, which is responsible for specific mRNA codon recognition, and the 3' end, to which the tRNAs corresponding amino acid is attached (by aminoacyl-tRNA synthetases). tRNAs cope with the degeneracy of the genetic code in two manners: having more than one tRNA (with a specific anti-codon) for a particular amino acid; and 'wobble' base-pairing, i.e. permitting non-standard base-pairing at the 3rd anti-codon position. The record is from RNAcentral. Lineage: Eukaryota; Metazoa; Arthropoda; Thecostraca; Balanomorpha; Austrobalanidae.